This 497-nucleotide ribosomal RNA is filed under the name uncultured bacterium. RNAcentral's name for it is "partial 16S ribosomal RNA". It matches the Rfam family "Bacterial small subunit ribosomal RNA", at positions 28 to 507 of the family's 1533-position model. The record is from RNAcentral.
GAUGAACGCUGGCGGCGUGCCUAAUACAUGCAAGUCGAGCGAACAGACGAGGAGCUUGCUCCUCUGACGUUAGCGGCGGACGGGUGAGUAACACGUGGAUAACCUACCUAUAAGACUGGGAUAACUUCGGGAAACCGGAGCUAAUACCGGAUAAUAUAUUGAACCGCAUGGUUCAAUAGUGAAAGACGGUUUUGCUGUCACUUAUAGAUGGAUCCGCGCCGCAUUAGCUAGUUGGUAAGGUAACGGCUUACCAAGGCAACGAUGCGUAGCCGACCUGAGAGGGUGAUCGGCCACACUGGAACUGAGACACGGUCCAGACUCCUACGGGAGGCAGCAGUAGGGAAUCUUCCGCAAUGGGCGAAAGCCUGACGGAGCAACGCCGCGUGAGUGAUGAAGGUCUUCGGAUCGUAAAACUCUGUUGUUAGGGAAGAACAAAUGUGUAAGUAACUGUGCACGUCUUGACGGUACCUAAUCAGAAAGCCACGGCUAACUACGUG